CCCCAUUUUAUCUACAGCCGUUGUUCCCCUCAUAUCCUUUUUGUUUCCUCUGCAACAUAACUCACAUCACAAAACAUGGAGAACCAUCUUCUUUUCCAAACCAAUCUCACACAAACACCUCUAGAUCCUUGCACCUCCCUUUCUAAACCUAAACAAACAUUAACCAGCUGCACCCCGUGUCUCCUCUCCCUCUUAUGAAGGCCGGUCGACCACCACCUAUGGUGGCGGCGUAUGGCGACUGCAAUGGCGACGAACCGCCAUUGGCGGCAGAGCCGCGGCGGUGGCGGUGGUGCUCUUGUUUUUUAUGAGAUUCAUCAGGUUAUAAUUUCAUUACUUCUGUUGUUUCGGGUCUCGUUUAGUUCAGAGUUGGCUUAGAUUUGUGUUCGGGUUUUGGGUUCGAUCUGAGCUAGUCAGCAGGCUCAAGUUUAUAUCAUUUUCUUUCAGCUUCGUGUUGUGGUAUAAAUGCGGUCCGGUUCAGAUUCAUGGCAGUGGAGGUAGUUAACGGUUGGCUCAGCGGGUUUGCUCGGAUUUCGGGUUGGAUUGGUUCGGUUCCUUUUGGUUCGAGAUUUGUUUCAGUUUUGGUUUAGGUUUCUGUCGUGUCAACUUUGGUCUUGGUUUGGGUCAGACUCGGUACGGUCCCUAUUCGGGAUCCGUUUUGGUUUCGGUCAAGCGGGUCAAAGACGGUCAACAUCGGGGCAGCUACAGCCGGAGUUUGCAAAAGGAACCAUUUCAUCGUGUUCGGGUGACCUCGGUGUUCCAUUUUCCUAAUCUCAUCAACUCGUCAUACUUGGAUAAUCGGAAGACUUGGCAAUUACGUUGUUAGACAAGACGAUGAAGAAAUCAAGUUAGGAUGGACUUAGAUACUCAUUCAAUAAUAAACAAUGUUGUUGCAAUUUGUCUUUAUUUGAAACAAUGUAUUCAAAUUUUAGUCAUUAAUGAAAUUGGAUUUAAAUUAUA
Long non-coding RNA from Helianthus annuus (common sunflower), 957 nucleotides. RefSeq lists it as uncharacterized. The record is from RefSeq and is a predicted model, not a curated record. NCBI's taxonomy places the organism in Eukaryota, Viridiplantae, Streptophyta, Magnoliopsida, Asterales, Asteraceae. The transcript is spliced from 3 exons.